Molecule: ribosomal RNA, 676 nt
Filed under: uncultured archaeon
Lineage: Archaea
Description: bacterial SSU rRNA
Rfam family: Archaeal small subunit ribosomal RNA
Source: RNAcentral
UCCGAGUGGUUUCUGCUAAAGAAACCUUUUGUCAGUCCUAGAAACACUAACGAAUAAGGGGUGGGCAAGUUCUGGUGUCAGCCGCCGCGGUAAAACCAGCACCUCAAGUGGUCAGGAUGAUUAUUGGGCCUAAAGCAUCCGUAGCCCGUUUUGUAAGUUUUCGGUUAAAUCCAUGCGCUUAACGUAUGGGCUGCCGGGAAUACUGCAUAACUAGGAAGUGGGAGAGGUAGACGGUACUCGGUAGGAAGGGGUAAAAUCCUUUGAGCUAUUGAUGACCACCUGUGGCGAAGGCGGUCUACCAGAACACGUUCGACGGUGAGGGAUGAAAGCUGGGGGAGCAAACCGGGUUAGAUACCCGGGUAGUCCCAGCUGUAAACUAUGCAAACUCAGUGAUGCAUUGGCUUGUGGCCAAUGCAGUGCUGCAGGGAAGCCGUUAAGUUUGCCGCCUGGGAAGUACGUACGCAAGUAUGAAACUUAAAGGAAUUGGCGGGGGAGCACCACAAGGGGUGAAGCCUGCGGUUCAAUUGGAGUCAACGCCAGAAAUCUUACCCGGAGAGACAGCAGAAUGAAGGUCAAGCUGAAGACUUUACCAGACAAGCUGAGAGGUGGUGCAUGGCUGUCGCCAGCUCGUGCCGUGAGAUGUCCUGUUAAGUCAGGUAACGAGCGAGAUCCCUGC